Molecule: ribosomal RNA, 253 nt
Filed under: uncultured bacterium
Lineage: Bacteria
Description: partial 16S ribosomal RNA
Rfam family: Bacterial small subunit ribosomal RNA
Source: RNAcentral
UACGAAGGGGGCUAGCGUUGUUCGGAAUUACUGGGCGUAAAGCGCACGCAGGCGGAUUUAUAAGUCAGGGGUGAAAUCCCGGGGCUCAACCUCGGAAUUGCCUUUGAUACUGUCUAUCUUGAGUCCGGGAGAGGUGAGUGGAAUUCCUAGUGUAGAGGUGAAAUUCGUAGAUAUUAGGAAGAACACCAGUGGCGAAGGCGGCUCACUGGCCCGGUACUGACGCUGAGGUGCGAAAGCGUGGGGAGCAAACAGG